GUGGUGUAAUGGUUAGCGUAUCGGACUAUGACCUGGGAGACCAGGGUUCGAAUCCCCGCUCA
This 62-nucleotide transfer RNA is filed under the name Podarcis lilfordi (Lilford's wall lizard). RNAcentral's name for it is "tRNA.His". Lineage: Eukaryota; Metazoa; Chordata; Lepidosauria; Squamata; Lacertidae. The record is from RNAcentral.